GACGAAACUCAUCCUCUUUGAAGUCCCCCAUUUAGAUACAUAUAUAUCUAUAAACCAAAAUUCAAAUUCAAAUUUUGAAUUUCGAAUUUCAUUUUAUUCAAAUCUCAGAUAUUACAUCAUUCCCCCCUUACAAGAAGUUUCGUCCCCAAAACUUAAUCAAGUAUCCCCCGCAAACAACUGCGGAUAUCGCUCUCGCAAAGAAGACUCAAGCUCCCAAGUAGCCUCGCAUUCCUCGUGAUUUUCCCACUGAACCUUUACAUACGGAAUGCUCCUAUUCCGCAAUUGCUUCACCUCACGUGCCAAUAUCCACAAAGGAGUCUCAUCGUAACUCAGAUCCUCCCGCAGCUAUAUAGACG
This 356-nucleotide long non-coding RNA is filed under the name Ananas comosus (pineapple). RNAcentral's name for it is "long non-coding RNA (ACOM_LNC013337)". Lineage: Eukaryota; Viridiplantae; Streptophyta; Magnoliopsida; Poales; Bromeliaceae. The record is from RNAcentral.